AAGUCGUAACAAGGUAACCGUAGGUGAACCUGCGGUUGGAUCAUUACUGAGUAAUGUAAAUUAAACUUGUGAAUUUGAGCAAAGUCUUUAGAGACUUGGCAACAUUCUUUUGUGGGUGAUGAAAGUUGGUAAUAAGAAAAGGAUGCAUGAAAAACAACUUUUGACAAUGGAUCUCUUGAGUCCU
RNAcentral lists this unclassified non-coding RNA (184 nucleotides) under fungal sp. RNAcentral describes it as "partial internal transcribed spacer region". The stretch from base 1 to 46 matches the Rfam family "Eukaryotic small subunit ribosomal RNA", at positions 1786 to 1831 of the family's 1831-position model. Lineage: Eukaryota; Fungi. The record is from RNAcentral.